AAGCACAUAUCAUAAUCUCAUCUUCCAGCCAUAAUCCCAUUUCAGGACAUAACCAACAGGAAAGAACAAGAUACUAAAGAAGUCAACAAACAGAGGGAUAAGGAAUGGUAUGCAAAAAAAAGAUGAAAUUUCCAAGUGCGGGUGACAAACACGGGAGUUUAAGAAACAGUCGACCCACCGGCAUGGAUCCAAUAGUUCGGCAAAGAAGGGCAUCUCUGAUAACUGCUAUAGCUGAUUUGUCACAGUUAUUGGCUGUGUCUCUUUAGAGGGUGUGAACAAUGAGUCCAAAGGUAUGGAUCCAAUUGUUCAGCAAAGCGGGGCAUCUCUGAUGACAACUAUAGCUGAUUUGUGGGUGUAGACAAUGAGUCCAAAGGUAUGUAACAUCAGCCUAAAAACAUCUAUAUCUAUAGGAAAACCUCCGAUGACUACUAUAGUUCUAUACCAAUAUAAAAAGACCUGGGGAGUAGGGUGAUCCAACAAA
This is a long non-coding RNA of Lolium rigidum, 481 nucleotides long. RefSeq lists it as uncharacterized. The record is from RefSeq and is a predicted model, not a curated record. The transcript has 4 exons. Lineage: Eukaryota; Viridiplantae; Streptophyta; Magnoliopsida; Poales; Poaceae.